This 434-nucleotide ribosomal RNA is filed under the name uncultured bacterium. RNAcentral's name for it is "bacterial SSU rRNA". It matches the Rfam family "Bacterial small subunit ribosomal RNA", at positions 78 to 507 of the family's 1533-position model. The record is from RNAcentral.
GUCUUCGGAUGAGUAAAGCGGCGAACGGGUGAGUAAUGCAUGGGAAUCUGCCUGGUAGUGGGGGACCAACGUCUCGAAAGGGGCGCUAAUACCGCAUACGCCCUACGGGGAAAGGGGGGGAUCUUCGGACCUCUCGCUAUCAGAUGAGCCCAUGUCAGAUUAGCUAGUUGGUAGGGUAAAGGCCUACCAAGGCGACGAUCUGUAACUGGUCUGAGAGGAUGAUCAGUCACACUGGAACUGAGACACGGUCCAGACUCCUACGGGAGGCAGCAGUGGGGAAUAUUUGGACAAUGGGCGCAAGCCUGAUCCAGCCAUGCCGCGUGUGUGAAGAAGGCCCUUGGGUUGUAAAGCACUUUCAGUGGGGAGAAAGGUCUGGAACCUAAUACGUUUUGGAAUUGAUGUUACCCACAGAAGAAGCACCGGCUAACUCCGUG